RNAcentral lists this transfer RNA (72 nucleotides) under Planctomycetota bacterium. RNAcentral's name for it is "Planctomycetes bacterium (activated sludge metagenome) tRNA-Gly". It matches the Rfam family "tRNA". From Rfam's summary of the family: Transfer RNA (tRNA) molecules are approximately 80 nucleotides in length. Lineage: Bacteria; Pseudomonadati; Planctomycetota. The record is from RNAcentral.
GCGGGUGUAACUCAGUGGUAGAGUGUCGGCCUUCCAAGCCGUUCGUCGUGGGUUCGAGUCCCAUCGCCCGCU